CGUCACAGCUGCACGCUAUUAACGUACAACCUUUCUUCCCAAUUGAAAGUGCUUUACAACCCUAAGGCCUUCUUCACACACGCGGCAUGGCUGCGUCAGGCUUUCGCCCAUUGCGCAAUAUUCCCCC
This 127-nucleotide ribosomal RNA is filed under the name uncultured bacterium. Its description in RNAcentral is "partial 16S ribosomal RNA". The record is from RNAcentral.